This 253-nucleotide ribosomal RNA is filed under the name uncultured bacterium. RNAcentral's name for it is "partial 16S ribosomal RNA". It matches the Rfam family "Bacterial small subunit ribosomal RNA", at positions 524 to 776 of the family's 1533-position model. The record is from RNAcentral.
UACGAAGGGUGCUAGCGUUGUUCGGAAUUACUGGGCGUAAAGCGCGCGUAGGCGGCUAUUCAAGUCAGAGGUGAAAUCCCUGGGCUCAACCCAGGAAUUGCCUUUGAAACUGUAUAGCUUGAGUGUCGGAGGGGAUAGCGGAAUUGCUAAUGUAGAGGUGAAAUUCGUAGAUAUUAGCAGGAACACCGGUGGCGAAGGCGGCUAUCUGGACGACAACUGACGCUGAGGCGCGAAAGCGUGGGGAUCAAACAGG